Apodemus sylvaticus (European woodmouse) is the source of this 130-nucleotide small nucleolar RNA. RefSeq annotates it as small nucleolar RNA SNORA17. The transcript has a single exon. The record is from RefSeq and is a predicted model, not a curated record. Lineage: Eukaryota; Metazoa; Chordata; Mammalia; Rodentia; Muridae.
AUUACCUCUAGAGGUGUUACAAGUAUGGCUGCCAUGUCACAUGCGCCUUGGUAGGUGGCAGAGAGGAGACAGACUGUCUAUGUUCAGUGUUCUGACUUAUGAACAUCUGAAUGAUUAUUAACUUAACAUU